Molecule: ribosomal RNA, 496 nt
Filed under: uncultured bacterium
Lineage: Bacteria
Description: partial 16S ribosomal RNA
Rfam family: Bacterial small subunit ribosomal RNA
Source: RNAcentral
GAUGAACGCUGGCGGCGUGCCUAAUACAUGCAAGUCGAGCGAACAGACGAGGAGCUUGCUCCUCUGACGUUAGCGGCGGACGGGUGAGUAACACGUGGAUAACCUACCUAUAAGACUGGGAUAACUUCGGGAAACCGGAGCUAAUACCGGAUAAUAUAUUGAACCGCAUGGUUCAAUAGUGAAAGACGGUUUUGCUGUCACUUAUAGAUGGAUCCGCGCCGCAUUAGCUAGUUGGUAAGGUAACGGCUUACCAAGGCAACGAUGCGUAGCCGACCUGAGAGGGUGAUCGGCCACACUGGAACUGAGACACGGUCCAGACUCCGACGGGAGGCAGAAGUAGGGAAUCUUCCGCAAUGGGCGAAAGCUUGACGGAGCAACGCCGCGUGAGUGAUGAAGGUCUUCGGAUCGUAAAACUCUGUUAUUAGGGAAGAACAAAUGUGUAAGUAACUAUGCACGUCUUGACGGUACCUAAACAGAAAACCACGGCUAACUACGU